Syngnathus typhle (broad-nosed pipefish) is the source of this 1179-nucleotide long non-coding RNA. RefSeq lists it as uncharacterized. The transcript has 3 exons. Lineage: Eukaryota; Metazoa; Chordata; Actinopteri; Syngnathiformes; Syngnathidae. The record is from RefSeq and is a predicted model, not a curated record.
CUUUUAUGGAGUAUCUGCUGUCUCGAUGGAUGUGUCCGGGUUGUGAGCGCUCAAAUCGGGCGUGAACAGCAGAUCGUCUGGCCGCUCGGAGCUCCACCUCCACGCUAAUUGGACAGGAUGGUACAUCCGGGACAUUAAAGAAAAGCUAUUGUGAUGUGGUCAAGAAGGACAAGUAAAUGUGUGGCUGGGGGCUGACAUGAGCAGCCAUAGAGGUGAUGUUCCAUCCUUUGGUGAGUUCGCAACUGAAGGUCCAGAGAAGUUCCAGAGAUGGAGCUACCACUUCCUCCUCUUCCUCUUCUGCCUGCACCUCCUCUUCUUCCUCAUUUUGCUCCUCCUCUUUCACCUGCUCCUCCACUUUUACCUCCUGCACCUCCUCCGUCAUCUCAUCCAAUUCUUCCUCUUCAUCCUCUUCCUUCUCUUCUUCAUUGUUGAGCUCCUCAGACUCCGGCUUGGUCUCGAAGGAGGGUUCUUAGAAGAGUUGGCUCGUCAUGGCACUGAGACAACCAUCUCCAUUCGUCAGACGUUACCUUGGAUCUCGGGGAGGUUCCUGUAAGAGGCCAGCCUUGCUUGAAAGAUGUUGGCAACCACGCAGCGUUCUAUAAUGAGCAGGUUACUCUGGAACGUCUCCGACUGGAAGAUCAGCUGAAGCUCUGACUCAUCCAUCAUGUCGCCCGCUUGCUUGUUGAAAGCAAACAAGGAGCUUCCGGUACUGGCUGGGGACAUGCGAGACAAAAUCAACAACUUUCCCUAGUUAGCGUACAUUCAUUUUUUUUUUACUUGUGUCGAUUGUGCUGAUGCUGCUGACGCUUCCUAUUUCCUUGGGAUCUUCAUUAAAGUCCGGCGAACUUUGCGCACUUCUCUCCGCUUUUGAAUCUUCGGUUUGGAAGGAGUCGAAAAUGUCCCAAAUGGUGGCCAUGGUGCCUGUCAAAAAAAGCAAAUUUGAGUAAACUGACCACUUAACAGAGCGAGUGUCAAGCUUACCCUGAUCGUGCAUGACAAUUUUGUCGCUCUGGAGUUUUUUGUUUUUAGAAGCUCCGACGAACGUCUGCAUGGCUCGCUCCACGUACUUGUCGUUGCCCAAUCGGUUGUUGCACAGCUCAAUGUAGAGGACGUUGCUCCGCCUAAAGACGAUACGGCGAGGUUUCCCUAUGCUCGUAGACUGAUAAUUCAUAAAAUAUU